AGGCUGGUAAAAUAAAUUAAAAAUUGUUUCUAAAAUACAAUGAUAAACUGAAUUAUUUUCAGGUUUCAGAAUGAAAGCCAGCAAAGUAGAGUGGAUGAUAAUUAGGAUAGUACUAGCUAGUGCGCACCAAGAAUGGAUACUUGCCAUCAUGCAGGGCACAAUAAUACACAGAGGGUCCUGAGCUUGGACCUUAUCAAAGACAUAAUAAAACUUAAGGCCCACACCAAGCCCAUCAUCAAAAAGCCUGUUUGCAAUUCAAAAUUAAGGCACGCAUGGAAAGGAAAAGCUUACUCCGACGCUUUUCAGAAGCGCGUGCUUUUCCUUACAAACCGACAAGCAGCCGUGUGAUAUAAGCCGGAGAUGAUUUCUCUGCUGGAUCGUGCCCGCAUGAGAGGAGGACACCUGGAUUAACUGAUUUACUUGACGCACGCGCCACUGCGAUUGAGCGUGUGUACUCCACAAUUCAGAAAUACAUCCUCGCAUUGAAGAAUUCUUCCAUUUCCAAUUGACAAGUCACCCAGUCAUUAAUUGCAAAAGUAAGAGACGCGCCGAGACGGUAACAAAAUUUUGAAGGCAACUGGCACUACUUAUUAUAUACGUGAGUGGAUAAUUUUGAUUGCAAACAAGGCAGCAAAUCUUGAAUUGUGAUAAUAAUUUAAACGCUACCCUGACCAAGUAAAGAGUUGAGAACAGUCAGCGCACCUUGGAUUUAUAGUAAAAGAAUUCCCAAAAUCCAAUCCCUCAGAGUAAUUGUGUCAUUUAUAGCAGCAAAUUACAGCCUCAUGCCUGUAUUUUGUACCUUACCUUGCUGAUUUGGAAACUACGACACCGUUUGUCCAUAGCCAGAUCUUGGUCUUGCAUUAUAGCCAGGGUGUCUUCCAUAUUCGAACUUUAACACAGAAUAAAAUACCCCUCCCUCCCUCUCUCUCUCACAGUAUUAUUGUAUGGAUUCUUGAUUUUUCUCUCUCCAAAUUUAAUUUAGAUACCAAGAACUUUAAAGCUCAAACCCACAAAUGCUUCCACUCUUUUCCUCCCACCUUAUAUAGUCUCUUGUACACCAACUAUGAUGCCUCAUCUUUCUCUCUCUAAGCCUCACAACAAGACAAACCUUUCGCUUUGGUUUCCUCAUCAGAUCUCUUUAUCUUACAGUACAGACACCACCCUACAUGUAUAAAAAAAUCCCUCCGCACACAAAAUGCCA
Molecule: long non-coding RNA, 1201 nt
Filed under: Populus trichocarpa (black cottonwood)
Lineage: Eukaryota; Viridiplantae; Streptophyta; Magnoliopsida; Malpighiales; Salicaceae
Description: long non-coding RNA (PTRI_LNC000650)
Source: RNAcentral